AGCGAACGCUGGCGGCAGGCCUAACACAUGCAAGUCGAACGAACCUUUCGGGGUUAGUGGCGGACGGGUGAGUAACACGUGGGAACGUGCCUUUAGGUUCGGAAUAACUCAGGGAAACUUGUGCUAAUACCGAAUGUGCCCUUCGGGGGAAAGAUUAAUCGCCUUUAGAGCGGCCCGCGUCUGAUUAGCUAGUUGGUUGAGGUAAUGGCUCACCAAGGAGACGAUCAGUAGCUGGUCUGAGAGGAUGAUCAGCCACAUUGGGACUGAGACACGGCCCAAACUCCUACGGGAGGCAGCAGUGGGGAAUCUUGCGCAAUGGGCGAAAGCCUGACGCAGCCAUGCCGCGUGAAUGAUGAAGGUCUUAGGAUUGUAAAAUUCUUUCACCGGGGACGAUAAUGACGGUACCCGGAGAAGAAGCCCCGGCUAACUUCGUG
RNAcentral lists this ribosomal RNA (434 nucleotides) under uncultured bacterium. Its description in RNAcentral is "partial 16S ribosomal RNA". It matches the Rfam family "Bacterial small subunit ribosomal RNA", at positions 29 to 507 of the family's 1533-position model. The record is from RNAcentral.